GCGGCAGGCUUAACACAUGCAAGUCGAGGGGCAGCAUGGGAGUAGCAAUACUUCUGAUGGCGACCGGCGCACGGGUGCGUAACGCGUAUGCAACCUACCUGUAACAGGGGGAUAACACUGAGAAAUCGGUACUAAUACCGCAUAACACUAUGAGAGGCAUCUCUUGUGGUUGAAAGUUUCGGCGGUUACAGAUGGGCAUGCGUUGUAUUAGCUGGUUGGUAAGGUAACGGCUUACCAAGGCGACGAUACAUAGGGGGACUGAGAGGUUAACCCCCCACAUUGGUACUGAGACACGGACCAAACUCCUACGGGAGGCAGCAGUGAGGAAUAUUGGUCAAUGGACGAAAGUCUGAACCAGCCAUGCCGCGUGCAGGAAGACGGCUCUAUGAGUUGUAAACUGCUUUUGUACAAGGGUAAACCUGAAUACGUGUAUUCAGCUGAAAGUACUGUACGAAUAAGGAUCGGCUAACUCCGUGCCAGCAGCCGCGGUAAUACGGAGGAUCCAAGCGUUAUCCGGAUUUAUUGGGUUUAAAGGGUGCGUAGGCGGAUUGAUAAGUUAGAGGUGAAAUGUCCGGGCUCAACUCGGGAACUGCCUCUAAUACUGUUGAUCUAGAGAGUAGAUGCGGUAGGCGGAAUGUAUGGUGUAGCGGUGAAAUGCUUAGAGAUCAUACAGAACACCGAUUGCGAAGGCAGCUUACCAAUCUAUAUCUGACGUUGAGGCACGAAAGCGUGGGGAGCAAACAGGAUUAGAUACCCUGGUAGUCCACGCAGUAAACGAUGAUAGCUCGUUGUCGGCGAUACACAGUCGGUGACUAAGAGAAAUCGAUAAGCUAUCCACCUGGGGAGUACGUUCGCAAGAAUGAAACUCAAAGGAAUUGACGGGGGCCCGCACAAGCGGAGGAACAUGUGGUUUAAUUCGAUGAUACGCGAGGAACCUUACCCGGGCUUGAAAGUUAGUGACUGAUCUGGAAACAGGUCUUCCCUUCGGGGCACGAAACUAGGUGCUGCAUGGUUGUCGUCAGCUCGUGCCGUGAGGUGUCGGGUUAAGUCCCAUAACGAGCGCAACCCCUACUGAUAGUUGCCAUCAGGUCAAGCUGGGCACUCUAUCGGGACUGCCGGUGUAAGCCGGAGGAGGGUGGGGAUGACGUCAAAUCAGCACGGCCCUUACGUCCGGGGCGACACACGUGUUACAAUGGUAGGUACAGAGGGCAGCUACCCAGCGAUGGGGUGCAAAUCUCGAAAGCCUAUCUCAGUUCGGAUUGGAGGCUGAAACUCGCCUCCAUGAAGUUGGAUUCGCUAGUAAUCGCGCAUCAGCCAUGGCGCGGUGAAUACGUUCCCGGGCCUUGUACACACCGCCCGUCAAGCCAUGGGAGUUGGGGGUGCCUGAAGUUCGUG
This 1395-nucleotide ribosomal RNA is filed under the name uncultured bacterium. Its description in RNAcentral is "16S ribosomal RNA". It matches the Rfam family "Bacterial small subunit ribosomal RNA". The record is from RNAcentral.